RNAcentral lists this ribosomal RNA (445 nucleotides) under uncultured bacterium. Its description in RNAcentral is "bacterial SSU rRNA". It matches the Rfam family "Bacterial small subunit ribosomal RNA", at positions 354 to 796 of the family's 1533-position model. The record is from RNAcentral.
GUGAGGAAUAUUGGACAAUGGGCGCAAGCCUGAUCCAGCCAUGCCGCGUGCAGGAAGACGCAUCUAUGGUGUGUAAACUGCUUUUGUACGGGAAGAAACACUCCCUCGUGAGGGAGCUUGACGGUACCGUAAGAAUAAGGAUCGGCUAACUCCGUGCCAGCAGCCGCGGUAAUACGGAGGAUCCAAGCGUUAUCCGGAAUCAUUGGGUUUAAAGGGUCCGUAGGCGGUUUAAUAAGUCAGUGGUGAAAGCCCAUCGCUCAACGAUGGAACGGCCAUUGAUACUGUUAGACUUGAAUUACAAGGAAGUAACUAGAAUAUGUAGUGUAGCGGUGAAAUGCUUAGAUAUUACAUGGAAUACCAAUUGCGAAGGCAGGUUACUACUUGUGGAUUGACGCUGAUGGACGAAAGCGUGGGGAGCGAACAGGAUUAGAAACCCGGGUAGUCC